AUGCUUGCUCAUAAAGGCAGAAAUCAGAAGAAUGUUGUAAUAAAUAGCUGGCAAAAGUUGUUCAUGGGGCUGCCACGUGUCAUACGUCGUACAUACGUUUGCACGACGUGCAAGCUUAAUUCUGAAGAAAUGUUGGAACACAAGAUAGAUCAACAUAGACAUUGUGCCGUUACCAGAACUCUGAUUGUAAUGCUUGGAAUAAGCUAUCAUCAAUAUUGUAUACCGAAACUGGCACAAAGUGAUCAGAAUCACCACCACCUUCUUGAGGUGGAGCUUGAUCAGAUUAGCACCACAAGCUGA
This 300-nucleotide ribosomal RNA is filed under the name Triticum aestivum (bread wheat). RNAcentral's name for it is "partial small subunit ribosomal RNA". Lineage: Eukaryota; Viridiplantae; Streptophyta; Magnoliopsida; Poales; Poaceae. The record is from RNAcentral.